GACAACUAAAAAAUAUUAAAAAAAAAAAAAAAAGAAAAAGGAUGAGCUCAAACCAUGUGCAGUGGCACAUGCCUGUUAUCCCAGUAACAUGGGAGGUUGAGGCAGGAGGAUUGUGUAUUUAAAGCUAGCCUCAGCAAUUUAGUAAGACCCUGUCUCAAAAUAAAUAGGGCUGGGGUAUGGGAUAUGGUUCCUUUGUUAAGUGACCUAGGGAGUUAAUCCCUAAUGCCCCCCAAAAAAGAAA
RNAcentral lists this long non-coding RNA (241 nucleotides) under Marmota monax (woodchuck). Lineage: Eukaryota; Metazoa; Chordata; Mammalia; Rodentia; Sciuridae. The record is from RNAcentral.